Long non-coding RNA from Etheostoma spectabile (orangethroat darter), 125 nucleotides. RefSeq lists it as uncharacterized. The transcript is spliced from 4 exons. NCBI's taxonomy places the organism in Eukaryota, Metazoa, Chordata, Actinopteri, Perciformes, Percidae. The record is from RefSeq and is a predicted model, not a curated record.
ACUAAUUGCAUUGUUUUAAAAAUUUAAAAAUGUAGAUCAGUGUUUGCCAAACGCACAAGGUGACGUCCUCAAAUGUCUCGUUUUGUCUACAACUCAAACAUUUUCAGUUUACUGUCACAGAGAAG